This 584-nucleotide ribosomal RNA is filed under the name uncultured Pseudomonas sp. RNAcentral's name for it is "bacterial SSU rRNA". It matches the Rfam family "Bacterial small subunit ribosomal RNA", at positions 102 to 682 of the family's 1533-position model. Lineage: Bacteria; Pseudomonadati; Pseudomonadota; Gammaproteobacteria; Pseudomonadales; Pseudomonadaceae. The record is from RNAcentral.
ACGGGUGAGUAAUGCCUAGGAAUCUGCCUGGUAGUGGGGGAUAACGUUCGGAAACGGACGCUAAUACCGCAUACGUCCUACGGGAGAAAGCAGGGGACCUUAUGGCCUUGCGCUAUCAGAUGAGCCUAGGUCGGAUUAGCUAGUUGGUGAGGUAAUGGCUCACCAAGGCGACGAUCCGUAACUGGUCUGAGAGGAUGAUCAGUCACACUGGAACUGAGACACGGUCCAGACUCCUACGGGAGGCAGCAGUGGGGAAUAUUGGACAAUGGGCGAAAGCCUGAUCCAGCCAUGCCGCGUGUGUGAAGAAGGUCUUCGGAUUGUAAAGCACUUUAAGUUGGGAGGAAGGGCAGUUACCUAAUACGUGAUUGUUUUGACGUUACCGACAGAAUAAGCACCGGCUAACUCUGUGCCAGCAGCCGCGGUAAUACAGAGGGUGCAAGCGUUAAUCGGAAUUACUGGGCGUAAAGCGCGCGUAGGUGGUUUGUUAAGUUGGAUGUGAAAUCCCCGGGCUCAACCUGGGAACUGCAUUCAAAACUGACUGACUAGAGUAUGGUAGAGGGUGGUGGAAUUUCCUGUGUAGCGGU